This 497-nucleotide ribosomal RNA is filed under the name uncultured bacterium. RNAcentral's name for it is "partial 16S ribosomal RNA". It matches the Rfam family "Bacterial small subunit ribosomal RNA", at positions 28 to 507 of the family's 1533-position model. The record is from RNAcentral.
GAUGAACGCUGGCGGCGUGCCUAAUACAUGCAAGUCGAGCGAACAGACGAGGAGCUUGCUCCUCUGACGUUAGCGGCGGACGGGUGAGUAACACGUGGAUAACCUACCUAUAAGACUGGGAUAACUUCGGGAAACCGGAGCUAAUACCGGAUAAUAUAUUGAACCGCAUGGUUCAAUAGUGAAAGACGGUUUUGCUGUCACUUAUAGAUGGAUCCGCGCCGCAUUAGCUAGUUGGUAAGGUAACGGCUUACCAAGGCGACGAUGCGUAGCCGACCUGAGAGGGUGAUCGGCCACACUGGAACUGAGACAUGGUCCAGACUCCUACGGGAGGCAGCAGUAGGGAAUCUUCCGUAAUGGGCGAAAGCCUGACGGAGCAACGCCGCGUGAGUGAUGAAGGUCUUCGGAUCGUAAAACUCUGUUAUUAGGGAAGAACAAAUGUGUAAGUAACUAUGCACGUCUUGACGGUACCUAAUCAGAAAGCCACGGCUAACUACGUG